This 484-nucleotide ribosomal RNA is filed under the name uncultured bacterium. Its description in RNAcentral is "partial 16S ribosomal RNA". It matches the Rfam family "Bacterial small subunit ribosomal RNA", at positions 30 to 507 of the family's 1533-position model. The record is from RNAcentral.
AUUGAACGCUGGCGGCAGGCCUAACACAUGCAAGUCGAGCGGAUGAAGGGAGCUUGCUCCUGGAUUCAGCGGCGGACGGGUGAGUAAUGCCUAGGAAUCUGCCUGGUAGUGGGGGAUAACGUCCGGAAACGGGCGCUAAUACCGCAUACGUCCUGAGGGAGAAAGUGGGGGAUCUUCGGACCUCACGCUAUCAGAUGAGCCUAGGUCGGAUUAGCUAGUUGGUGGGGUAAAGGCCUACCAAGGCGACGAUCCGUAACUGGUCUGAGAGGAUGAUCAGUCACACCGGAACUGAGACACGUUCCAGACUCCUACGGGAGGCAGCAGUGGGGAAUAUUGGACAAUGGGCGAAAGCCUGAUCCAGCCAUGCCGCGUGUGUGAAGAGGGUCUUCGGAUUGUAAAGCACUUUAAGUUGGGAGGAAGGGCAGUAAGUUAAUACCUUGCUGUUUUGACGUUACCAACAGAAUAAGCACCGGCUAACUUCGUG